RNAcentral lists this long non-coding RNA (558 nucleotides) under Rhinopithecus bieti (black snub-nosed monkey). RNAcentral's name for it is "lncRNA (ENSRBIG00000046607.1)". Lineage: Eukaryota; Metazoa; Chordata; Mammalia; Primates; Cercopithecidae. The record is from RNAcentral.
GCAAGGGACAAUUAUAUAAACCCCCUCUCCCUGCACCCACCUCCCUCCCAUGUUGGUUUAAUCCUUGGGCUGUUUCCUGCCUGCCCCCCUGGGAAAUGCUGAUCUCCUAAAGGUAGCAACAAAUGAUGGGAUCAUUAUUAAACUAAGAUGAAGUUGUUGGAAGGGCCUUGGAGGAACAUGAGCAUAAUACUACUGGGAGAACUAAACGCCAACUCAUCCAUGCCCUCUGUGCUGAACUUGGUCUCAGCCUGCUGAAAUCACCUGCACCCCAUGGGAACUGUAGUCGUAUCUUCAGUCCUGGGAGCCUCCGCGUGCCCUGUCACAGGAGUAAAUGAGGAGUAAUGUGAGGGACGGCACUAAAGAGAGGAUAACUAAUCAAUCAAUCUAUCAUCAAUUUCGACCAAGCCUCUCCAGUUGUGCUUGGCUCCUCUGAGGUUAGGAGACAUGAAGAAGGCCCAGAAUAUUCAGUACCUCUUAAUGACCCUCAGACAAUGUAGGAAGGAGAUUGGUUCACCUUUUAACCCAGAAUUUCUCACAUUUAAUGAUGAUUCAGGUUAA